GCAGCUGCUCUGUGGUGGUGAUUGGGUUUGCAAGAGGGAAGAAGUCAAGUGACUGGAAACUUCUCCUCCUGCCUUUGAGAACCAGCUUUAACCUGAACUGGGUUAAAACUUUGGUGGAAAGGACAAAUCUGGGAUUGGUUGUAAACCUUUGAAGUCUUCUGGGUGCAAAAUGAAUCAUAACCGGAUUUAAGAGGAAAGAAUUACUGAUCAGCACUGGAGGUGAAGCAGUUACAGCUCUGUUCAGAAAAGCCAGGGAAAUGCAGUAGAACUAAUCUGCCUGGACUGCAGCAAAAUGCUGGGCUCAGAGCUGUGCAGGACAAGAGCAGGCUGCAGUUGCCGACAGAAGGAUUAGAAGAUCCCGCAUGGGAUUACUCUCCUGAGACUUCCAAUCCAAUUUUGCAUACUCCAGAAUUCCAGAUAAGACUCCAAGCUUCUGGACGCUUUUAAAAAAUAAACUCUCCAACAUUUAUCAAGCUUACACCUUCAUGAGGCCUAAUGACACUGAUAACAUUUGUGCUGGUGGGUGUUCAUGCUCCAGAUCCUCAGGAUGUGGCCAGAAUAAAAGUUGUCAUUGGUGAUUGAGGGAGAAAGAGACCAAAUACUCUACUAGAAGUGCCUAGAAAAUGGGAAGCUAUACUCUGCUGCUCUCGUUUAAACAACAGAAUGAUUGCAUGGUGAAUUUUCUAAAAGAGUUACCUGCCCCUAACUCUCCUGCUGAGUACCAACCACUGUGCUAAGAAAAGGUUAUAUUACUUCCAGCAGACAUGAAGAUAAUACAGGUUGGGACUGGCAAUGCAGCUGAUUUUGGCAGUACUCUGAAAUCUGUUGUCCAUCCUAAAAGGAGGCUGCUCAGCUUUUACCAGCCACAAAGAGACUGAAGACAAGAGCCAAGAACUGGAGUGGCAUGGAUCCAACCCGAUGUUAUGUCCCCUUUUUCUUGUUUCUGUUCACAAUCCUGUUUCUAUGCAUACAGUCACUGUAAGGACAGCAAAGUCCAUCCAGUUUCACGCCAUUCCAAAUAUAUCUUUAUGCUGAGAAGACAUGCCCUGGAUUAAACUAGAGAAGAUUUUAUUUGGCAGUGGUAGCAUAGACACCAGAUUCUUGGAGAAUCAUGCUCACUAGGUUUUAGAAGUGACCUGGUUCUGUUCUGUAUUAUUUGAUGAACUAGGACCCAAGAUCUCAUGAAACUGAAAAGAAGCAAAUAUGAUGGGAGAGUUUUCUAAGUAAGGGUUGUAUCAUUAUUGGAAAGUAUUACCCAGCGUGGGCUUGAGCUCGAGGUCUGUGGAAAUAAUGGGCUUGUACUGAAAAUAAGAGUCCUGACUUUUCAGGUAAGAAGCUGUGCAGAUGGUUCUCAAUUGAACUAGUUGACAGGCUCCAGUUAACUGGAAGUUUUUCAAGCAAAAAUAUUUAUAAAGAAGAAAUAAACCCAUGACAUUAUGUUGGCCAACCUGAGAUUAGACAUUUUAAAGCUGUUCAUUAUUCUGUCACAUCCUGCCCCCUAGAGCUUGUACCAAAAUUACCAUUCUGUUCCCCUGUUACCCAUCAUAAAUUGUAUUUUAGAUGUUGAAAUCCAAAUAUGCCAAGCAGUGGAGCUUCACGCGGUCUGUAAUGCCAAGGAGAAGGCACUAUGAAUCAGGACUGGCCCAAAGGAGAUGAGAAUUUUCCUCACUGGGGCAGAUGCAAACCAAAACCUUCUUCAGAGAAGAUCCUCUUGCACAGUGCCCCAGACAAGUCCAUCUUGGUUCCCUUCUACAAUGUUACUCGGAGUUUGCCUUUCCUGGUGUGAGCCGUAUUUCCUUGUCUUGUCCCCGCAUAUCCAGGGCACAUUGGUCUAUCAGAAUGUCUUGUGGAACAAUCACAGGCAUAGUUCAUAGUUCAUUUAUUCCCACAUUGUAGCUGUUUGAGCUUUAAGACCACUUUGAAACAGGCUUCUCUAGGAUGCCUUUUUUUGUGAUGUCAGUGUAAGUUUUCUUCAUGCUUACUCGUCUCUGAUCUGAGCAAGUUUUAUCAAAGGCUGAAAAGCAGAAAGUUGUCCAGUCUUUGUACCGGUAGCUGGAUGUUCCUCUUGGCUAUCAGCAAGAGGAGUUGCAGAAAGGCAGUGUGUGUUGCAGGAAAUAAAGAAACUUAUUGACUGUGAAACAGGUGCAGAUAUCCCUAAAUCCAGUUUGCAUUAAGUGCGAUCAUUGAUUUAGAGCUCUAUAACUGGAGAUAUGAAUGUUCUAACAGCAAUGGCUUAAAACAGAAAAACAAACAACAACAAAAUACAAACAAAAACCCCCACCCCAAACAAACAA
This is a long non-coding RNA of Cygnus olor (mute swan), 2294 nucleotides long. RefSeq lists it as uncharacterized. The transcript is spliced from 5 exons. The record is from RefSeq and is a predicted model, not a curated record. Lineage: Eukaryota; Metazoa; Chordata; Aves; Anseriformes; Anatidae.